GCGAGUGAAGCGGGAAAAGCUCAAAUUUAAAAUCUGGCGGUCUCCGGCCGUCCGAGAGGGAAUUUAGAGAAGCGUUAUCCGUGCUGGACCGUGUAUAAGUCUCCUGGAAUGGAGCGUCAUAGAGGGUGAGAAUCCCGUCUUUGACACGGACUACCAGUGCAUUGUGAUGCGCUCUCGACGAGUCGAGUUGUUUGGGAAUGCAGCUCAAAAUGGGUGGUAAAUGCCAUCUAAAGCUAAAUAUUGGCGAGAGACCGAUAGCGAACAAGUACCGUGAGGGAAAGAUGAAAAGAACUUUGGAAAGAGAGUUAAACAGUACGUGAAAUUGUCGAAAGGGAAACGGUUGCAGUCAGUCGCGUCCGCCGGGGAUCAACCUUGCUUUUGCUUGGCGUAUUUCCCGGUGGAUGGGUCAGCAUCAGUUUUGACCGCAGUUGAAAGGCUGGAGGAAUGUGGCACCUUCGGGUGUGUUAUAGCCUCCUGUCAUAUGCUGCGGUUGGGACUGAGGAACUCAGCACGCCGCAAGGCCGGGAUUCGUCCACGUUCGUGCUUAGGAUGCUGGCAUAAUGUCUGUAACCGACCCGUCUUGAA
RNAcentral lists this ribosomal RNA (585 nucleotides) under Schizophyllum commune. RNAcentral describes it as "LSU rRNA". It matches the Rfam family "Eukaryotic large subunit ribosomal RNA", at positions 89 to 658 of the family's 3401-position model. Lineage: Eukaryota; Fungi; Basidiomycota; Agaricomycetes; Agaricales; Schizophyllaceae. The record is from RNAcentral.